UGGGGAAUCUUCCGCAAUGGACGAAAGUCUGACGGAGCAACGCCGCGUGAGUGAUGACGGCCUUCAGGUUGUAAAGCUCUGUUAAUCGGGACGAAUGGUUCUUGUGCGAAUAGUGCGAGGAUUUGACGGUACCGGAAUAGAAAGCCACGGCUAACUACGUGCCAGCAGCCGCGGUAAUACGUAGGUGGCAAGCGUUGUCCGGAAUUAUUGGGCGUAAAGCGCGCGCAGGCGGAUUGGUCAGUCUGUCUUAAAAGUUCGGGGCUUAACCCCGUGAUGGGAUGGAAACUGCCAAUCUAGAGUAUCGGAGAGGAAAGUGGAAUUCCUAGUGUAGCGGUGAAAUGCGUAGAUAUUAGGAAGAACACCAGUGGCGAAGGCGACUUUCUGGACGAAAACUGACGCUGAGGCGCGAAAGCCAGGGGAGCGAACGGGAUUAGAUACCCCGGUAGUCCUGGCCGUAAACGAUGGGUACUAGGUGUAGGAGGUAUCGACCCCUUCUGUGCCGGAGUUAACGCAAUAAGUACCCCGCCUGGGGAGUACGACCGCAAGGUUG
Molecule: ribosomal RNA, 550 nt
Filed under: uncultured bacterium
Lineage: Bacteria
Description: bacterial SSU rRNA
Rfam family: Bacterial small subunit ribosomal RNA
Source: RNAcentral